GACGAACGCUGGCGGCGUGCUUAACACAUGCAAGUCGAACGGAAAGGCCCUGCUUUUGUGGGGUGCUCGAGUGGCGAACGGGUGAGUAACACGUGAGUAACCUGCCCUUGACUUUGGGAUAACUUCAGGAAACUGGGGCUAAUACCGGAUAGGAGCUCCUGCUGCAUGGUGGGGGUUGGAAAGUUUCGGCGGUUGGGGAUGGACUCGCGGCUUAUCAGCUUGUUGGUGGGGUAGUGGCUUACCAAGGCUUUGACGGGUAGCCGGCCUGAGAGGGUGACCGGCCACAUUGGGACUGAGAUACGGACCAGAGUCCUACGGGAGGCAGCAGUGGGGAAUAUUGCACAAUGGGCGGAAGCCUGAUGCAGCAACGCCGCGUGCGGGAUGACGGCCUUCGGGUUGUAAACCGCUUUCGCCUGUGACGAAGCGUGAGUGACGGUAAUGGGUAAAGAAGCACCGGCUAACUACGUG
RNAcentral lists this ribosomal RNA (468 nucleotides) under uncultured bacterium. RNAcentral's name for it is "partial 16S ribosomal RNA". It matches the Rfam family "Bacterial small subunit ribosomal RNA", at positions 28 to 507 of the family's 1533-position model. The record is from RNAcentral.